Molecule: ribosomal RNA, 71 nt
Filed under: Vibrio parahaemolyticus 863
Lineage: Bacteria; Pseudomonadati; Pseudomonadota; Gammaproteobacteria; Vibrionales; Vibrionaceae
Description: partial 16S ribosomal RNA
Rfam family: Bacterial small subunit ribosomal RNA
Source: RNAcentral
CUUAAAUUGAAGAGUUUGAUCAUGGCUCAGAUUGAACGCUGGCGGCAGGCCUAACACAUGCAAGUCGAGCG